Molecule: small nucleolar RNA, 139 nt
Filed under: Oryza sativa Indica Group (long-grained rice)
Lineage: Eukaryota; Viridiplantae; Streptophyta; Magnoliopsida; Poales; Poaceae
Description: Small nucleolar RNA Z247
Rfam family: Small nucleolar RNA Z247 (bases 1-99)
About the family: Z247 is a member of the C/D class of snoRNA which contain the C (UGAUGA) and D (CUGA) box motifs. Most of the members of the box C/D family function in directing site-specific 2'-O-methylation of substrate RNAs.
Source: RNAcentral
CCCAUGGAUGACGAGGAGCUGGUGACCUACAUCCUCGCCGGGUUGGACUUCGACUACAACUCGGUUGUCUCAUCUGUGGCAAACCGGGCUAAAUCAAUCUCUGUCAACGAGCUUCAUACUCAAUGACAGGGUUUGAGUC